UGUUUAAGCAUUUUUACCGUGAACUGCGAAUGGCUCAUUUAAAUUCAGUUAUCGUUUAUUUGAUAAUACCUUACUACUUGGAUAACCGUGGUAAUUCUAGAGCUAAUACAUGCUGAAAAUCCCGACUUCGGAAGGGAUGUGUUUAUUAGAUAAAAAACCAAUGCCCUUCGGGGCUCUUUGGUGAUUCAUGAUAACUUUACGGAUCGCAUAGCCUUGCGCUGGCGACGGUUCAUUCAAAUUUCUGCCCUAUCAACUUUCGAUGGUAAGGUAUUGGCUUACCAUGGUUUCAACGGGUAACGGGGAAUUAGGGUUCGAUUCCGGAGAGGGAGCCUGAGAAACGGCUACCACAUCCAAGGAAGGCAGCAGGCGCGCAAAUUACCCAAUCCCGACACGGGGAGGUAGUGACAAUAAAUACUGAUACAGGGCUCUUUUGGGUCUUGUAAUUGGAAUGAGUACAAUUUAAACCUCUUAACGAGGAACAAUUGGAGGGCAAGUCUGGUGCCAGCAGCCGCGGUAAUUCCAGCUCCAAUAGCGUAUAUUAAAGUUGUUGCAGUUAAAAAGCUCGUAGUUGAAACUUGGGCCUGGCUGGCGGGUCCGCCUCACCGCGUGCACUCGUCCGGCCGGGCCUUCCUUCUGAAGAACCUCAUGCCCUUCACUGGGCGUGUUGGGGAAUCAGGACUUUUACUUUGAAAAAAUUAGAGUGUUCAAAGCAGGCCUUUGCUCGAAUACGUUAGCAUGGAAUAAUAAAAUAGGGCGUGCGUUUCUAUUUUGUUGGUUUCUAGAGACGCCGCAAUGAUUAACAGGAACAGUCGGGGGCAUCAGUAUUCAGUUGUCAGAGGUGAAAUUCUUGGAUUUACUGAAGACUAACUA
RNAcentral lists this ribosomal RNA (870 nucleotides) under Curvularia lunata. RNAcentral describes it as "SSU rRNA". It matches the Rfam family "Eukaryotic small subunit ribosomal RNA", at positions 62 to 942 of the family's 1831-position model. Lineage: Eukaryota; Fungi; Ascomycota; Dothideomycetes; Pleosporales; Pleosporaceae. The record is from RNAcentral.